AGCAGCCGCGGUAAUUCCAGCUCCAAUAGCGUAUAUUAAAGUUGUUGCAGUUAAAAAGCUCGUAGUUGAAUUUCGGGAUCAAUAUUUCGGUCAUGCCGUUGGUAUGCACUGUUAUCAUUGAUUUCUCACCUUCUAAAGAACCGUAAUGCCAUUAAUUUGGUGUUACGGGGAAUUAGGACUGUUACCUUGAAAAAUUAGAGUGUUUAAAGCAGGCUCACGCUUGAAUACAUUAGCAUGGAAUAAUGAAUAGGACAUCCGAUUCUAUUUUGUUGGUUUCUAGGAUCGAUGUAAUGAUUAAUAGGGAUAGUUGGGGGCAUUAGUAUUCAAUUGUCAGAGGUGAAAUUCUUGGAUUUAUUGAAGACUAACUACUGCGAGAGCAUUUGCCAAGGAUGUUUUCAUUA
This 401-nucleotide ribosomal RNA is filed under the name uncultured Glomus. Its description in RNAcentral is "SSU rRNA". It matches the Rfam family "Eukaryotic small subunit ribosomal RNA", at positions 569 to 975 of the family's 1831-position model. The record is from RNAcentral. Lineage: Eukaryota; Fungi; Glomeromycota; Glomeromycetes; Glomerales; Glomeraceae.